GCUGCCGCCAUGAUUGUGAGGCUUCCCCACCCACGUGGAAAUAAGAGGCAGAGGAUGUUGACACAAACUUACAGACUGGGACUCCAAGGAUCAGCCAGAUGAAAUGCUAUGUGCAGAGUCUUCAUUUCCCAGCUCAGUGGUGGACAGCAGAGGACUCUAAGAUCCAGCCACCUCUUGGGAUGCACACGUUUCUCUUCAACUGCGUGAUGUGAACUGCGUCACAUGGUAAGAGAGCUCAGCUAUUGAUCAAUGGCUUUACCAGUCUUUAGUUCACUCAAAUCUAGGAAAGGAGCUGACAGCCUAUUUUGUCUUGGGGCCUAAGCAGGGUUCUCCGUUCCAGAUUUACCAGCAAAGGUCCAUUUCUUUUCUUUCUUUCUUUUUUUUUUUUUUUUUUUUUGAGAUGGAUUCUUGCUCUGUCGCCCAAGCUGGAGUGCCGUGGCACCAUCUCAGCUCACUGCAACCUCUGCCUCCCAGGUUCAAGCAAUUCUCCUCAACUUCCUGAGUAGCUGGGAUUACAGGUUCCUGCCACCACUCCUGGCUAAUUUUUUUGUAUUUUUAGUAGAGAUAGGGUUUAACAAUCUUGGCCAGGCUGGUCUUGAACUCCUGACCUUAUGAUCUGCCCGCCUUGGCCUCGCAAAGUGCUGGGAUUACAGGCUUGAGCCACCAUGCCCGGCCGGUCUGCUGUCUAUUUCUUAAUUGGCUCAGAACUUGAAGGAAAAAAUGGUGUAAUGAAUAUUAUACAAUGUCAACCUUAUUUUUAUUCUACCCACCAUUUUCUUCAUAGCUUAGGUGUAUUAUCUUAUUUUAUUUUGAAAAAUCCCAAAGAGGUGGACACUACUAUUGUUUUAAUUUUACAGAUGAAUUUAAAAAUAGCAGAGAUUAGAUUACUAAAGUUGAGAUUUAUAUAGCUGGUAAGAAAGAAGACUGAAAUUUGAAUCUAUUAUUCAUUUGUUCAGUACUUUAGUAUUGGACUAAAAUACCGAUAAAUCCAUAAGUCCACUUUGGUACUAUACUUAUGCUUGCUGGAAAUAUAUGCAUAAAAUAGUUAUAGUUGUUAUCUAAGUGAAAUUUAUAGCUUAGGGAGACUAUAUUAAUUAUAUAUUAAUUUAAUUAUCAUAAAAGUAGUUAUGUAAUUACAAGCUGCAAUAAUGUCUUCAAAGACCAUUCUCUUAAUCACUGUAGUAUUACUAUCUUGCCUUGACUUUGAGAUUUUCUAGUGCUGGAAUUAAUAUUAUUUCAUCUUUUAUUGUCUUGUUGAAACAUUCCAUCAUUCUUAUUUGGUUGUUUUAUUAUGAUCAACUGACAUAUAAGCAGACCUGAAAAACACUUGCUUGGGAAGAUCAUGAUGGAGAUUCUUGGAAAUCUCCUUGCUAUUACUGGUCCCCAUCCUACUAUAGUAUCAUCCUUUAAGAGGGACAGAAUUGUUCCUAACAUCUAGAUCAUGAAGAUGAAUUCCCUAAAAGAGAAUUUUAAUUACAGAAAAAAAUAAAAACUUAGAGGUCAUUCAUCUGAGCUUUUUAUUAUGUUAUA
Long non-coding RNA from Homo sapiens (human), 1530 nucleotides. Ensembl annotates it as prostate cancer associated transcript 1. Its record names the gene PCAT1. The record is from Ensembl. Lineage: Eukaryota; Metazoa; Chordata; Mammalia; Primates; Hominidae.